This 253-nucleotide ribosomal RNA is filed under the name uncultured bacterium. Its description in RNAcentral is "partial 16S ribosomal RNA". It matches the Rfam family "Bacterial small subunit ribosomal RNA", at positions 524 to 776 of the family's 1533-position model. The record is from RNAcentral.
UACGUAGGGUGCAAGCGUUGUCCGGAAUUAUUGGGCGUAAAGAGCUCGUAGGCGGCUUGUCACGUCGACUGUGAAAUCCCCGGGCUCAACCCGGGAACUGCGUCCGAGACUGGAAGGCUUGAAUCCGGGAGAGGGAUGUGGAAUUCCAGGUGUAGCGGUGAAAUGCGUAGAUAUCUGGAGGAACAUCGGUGGCGAAGGCGGCAUCCUGGACCGGUAUUGACGCUGAGGCGCGAAAGCCAGGGGAGCAAACGGG